GUGUCUGUUAGAAUGCAUUAGGCUGCAAGUACAGAACACCUGACUAACAGUGGCUGUCUUAGGUUGGGAUUCUUAGAAACAGAAGUUGAGAUGAGAAGAUGAGUUGAAAGUGAUGUCUUAGGAAGUGUUUCCAAGACAAACCAGUAGUAGGGGUGUGGAGAAGUGGGAAGGGAAGAAGGCAAGGCAAGGGUGUGAUUCAGGCCAAGUCCCGCAGAGGGGAGCUUGACUCAGACUUGCAGAGGAGCUCCGGAGAUCGUGCAAUCACUCCUCAGAGUCAUCCACAUCAGCACAAGGGAGCUGGAGGAUUGGCACCUCCAUACUCAUCUGUCUGAGCUAAGGGCCACCUGGGGUGGAGCGGAGGUGGACAUUGUCAGGCUCUUCUGGUUUUCCAUGCUCACUGGCAAAGUGGGCUCAGGCAGCCUAAGGUCAGUGUUCUGACAAAGAGAAGC
RNAcentral lists this long non-coding RNA (449 nucleotides) under Homo sapiens (human). RNAcentral's name for it is "non-protein coding lnc-POLD3-8:1". Lineage: Eukaryota; Metazoa; Chordata; Mammalia; Primates; Hominidae. The record is from RNAcentral.